Molecule: ribosomal RNA, 492 nt
Filed under: uncultured bacterium
Lineage: Bacteria
Description: partial 16S ribosomal RNA
Rfam family: Bacterial small subunit ribosomal RNA
Source: RNAcentral
AGUGAACGCUGGCGGUAUGCCUAACACAUGCAAGUCGAACGGCAGCACAGUAAGAGCUUGCUCUUACGGGUGGCGAGUGGCGGACGGGUGAGGAAUACAUCGGAAUCUACUUUUUCGUGGGUGAUAACGUAGGGAAACUUACGCUAAUACCGCAUACGUCCUACGGGUGAAAGCAGUGGAUCUUCGGACCUUGCGCGAUUGAAUGAGCCGAUGUCGCAUUAGCUAGUUGGCGAGGUAAAGGCCUACCAAGGCGACGAUCCGUAGCUGGUCUGAGAGGAUGAUCAGCCACACUGGAACUGAGACACGGUCCAGACUCCUACGGGAGGCAGCAGUGGGGAAUCUUGCGCAAUGGGCGCAAGCCUGAUCCAGCCAUACCGCGUGGGUGAAGAAGGCCUUCGGGUUGUAAAGCCCUUUUGUUGGGAAAGAAAAGCAGCAGGUUAAUAUCCCGCUGUUCUGACGGUACCCAAAGAAUAAGCACCGGCUAACUUCGUG